AUGAGGUAUCGUCGAGCUCUAGACGUUAAAUUAAGCACUUGUUGGGAGGUAACCCAACUGUUUUUCUUUGUUUUGUUUUUCUUUCUUUUAGUUUCUUUUUGUUUCGUUGUUUUCUUUGGGAGUUUAGUGCAGUGUUGAGCUUGGAAGAUGAGGGAACUCGCGCUUUGUUCAUACCACCACCAUGGAGCAUAUUUUUCUGUGAGUAGUGACACACAUAUCAUCAUCCCUCCAAACUUAUUUUCGAACUUAUGUUCUGUAAUAAGUUUGGGGGAGGGGGGUGAGAGUAGAUAUGUGUAUCACUUUUAUUAUUUUUGUUGGCUUUAUUGUUUUAUCCUGCUUGGUUGGUGGUGUGUGUUUGUGAUUGUUUUUUA
This 371-nucleotide long non-coding RNA is filed under the name Salvia miltiorrhiza (redroot sage). Its description in RNAcentral is "long non-coding RNA (SMIL_LNC013424)". The record is from RNAcentral. Lineage: Eukaryota; Viridiplantae; Streptophyta; Magnoliopsida; Lamiales; Lamiaceae.